Molecule: long non-coding RNA, 2221 nt
Organism: Octopus sinensis (East Asian common octopus)
Lineage: Eukaryota; Metazoa; Mollusca; Cephalopoda; Octopoda; Octopodidae
Exons: 2
Source: RefSeq, a predicted model, not a curated record
UUGUGAAGGCACAUGGGUUAAUGGUUUGGGUGUUGCACUCAUGAUUGUGAAAUCGUGGUUUCGAUUCCCAGAGUGGGCAUUGCAUUGUGUUCUUGAGCAAAACACUUCAUUUCACGUUGCUCUAUGAUCAUUUUGUCAUCUGACAUUCUGUUCUGGUAAUGUUGAUUUGGUGGAGGGAGUGAGCUUAUGUGAACUCAAACAUUUGAUCUCUAUAAAUAAAUCAGCUGUGUGGUUGUUCAACAAGAAAUAGCAGAAUCCUCAUACAUCGUCUAAUGAAAGAAGAGUUCAUGAUGUAUGUAUUUAUACACACACACACACACACACACACUUGAGAGGUUGAAACAAGUGAUCCUAUACUAGAAAAUCAGAAUUGAACUCUACUUAUAUAUAAGGAUCAUUGAAAGAGAAGACAAGUUGAAGUCGAACUGUACAUAUAAGGAUGUUAACCUUUGAAAAUUGUUAUAGGUAAAUUAAUUUAUAUAUUUAUUUACCAAAACCUUCAAAGUUUUGGUGUUGGAGCAAUUGUUGUAAUGUUGCCUCUUUAAACAAAGAAUGGAAAACAUAGUUUAAAAAUGUUUUUUCUUUCCAAAUAAUAUUUUGAAAAAACUUAGUUUGUUCUGCUCUAUUCAGAAAUGUUCUGCAAGAUUAUUUUAUUGAAUUUGGAAUAAUUCUGGAAUUGAACAAUUUACACACAUACACACACACGUACACUCAUCACAUGCACACACACAUACACACACUCAUCACACGCACACAUACAUCAUGCAUACACUGACACUUAUGUAGCAAUGUAAAAUCAUUAUAACGUAAUAUGUAUUUCAACAUAUAAUAAAUUGCUAACACUCAGUGCAAAUAUAAUACUUAUAUAUAAUGCUUCAUUAUAUAUAAUGGAAAAGAAGGAGUACACUGAAUAAUGUAAUCUUAGCCAUACUGAAAAGGCAGGAUGGCCACAACUGGAAAACAAUGAAAAAUGACAGGAUGGUCAUAAUUGGAAUUCCUUUUGAUCACUGAUCAAAGCUGAUCUGGGACAAAACAAUAGCAACUACAUAAUACUAUAGAUUGCGAAUGCUUUGUACAAGACUGUAUUAUAAUACCAUUAUAAUAGAGUAACGAUACACAAUGCUUGGUCAUACAGAAAUGAUGCUCAGUACAAUACUCCUGGUGGUAGAUAUCUGAAGCUCAAAGAUAAAGAUGCAAUUGUUCAGUCAUGUGAAUUACCUACUCCUGAAUUGACAUGUAAGUGACUAAGUAUUCCACAGACAUGUGUCUGCUUAAUAUAAUUUUCAAUUGCUGAAUUGGCAUGACAUACGAGUUACAGAAAGUGUAUGGAGAGGAGUGUAUGAGCUGCACAUAAGUGUAUGAGUGAUUCAGACGUUUCCAAGAUGACUGAAAAAGUGUUGAUAUUGUUGAAUGUUCUGGGAGACUUGCAACCAGCAGAACUGAGAAAAAUAUCGUUGAUGUGUGUGUGCAGCCAUGAGGGGAAAUUGUCGAAUCACCAUCCAUGAGUUAUCAAAGGCUGUGCUGAUUAGUUACGGUUCAUUUCAGUCCAUUAUCACUAAAGAUUUGGGUAUGAAACACAUGUCUGCCAAGUUUGUGCCACUCCUUCCUUCCAAGCUCUGCUAUAAACAACAGAAGUGAGCUAGAACAUUGAAACUUAGUGUGAAGCACAGCAGAGUUCAAGGUCAAUCUGUGCCAAGUGGCUUUACUUGGCAUGCUUGAGCUUCAUUACUAUGGUAACAGUCUGGAUAUCUAUUGUGACAAAACCAUACUUUUGAAUAAUAGGUCAAAUCUACCCGAUGGGCUUCUAUGCAGUUUCUGCCUACCCAAUUUAAUUCACACACACACAAAAAAAGAGACGGGUCAACCCAAGGCUAGAGAAAACCAACUUCUUAGCCACUCAGCUUUACUGCACUUGUGAUACACAAUACACUAUCAUUACACUACAACAACAUACAAUAUAACAAUCCAGAUAUACAAUACAAUAUGCCAUACUGACACAUCUAUACUCAGUUCAGUAUUCGACAUGCAAUUCUAACAUAUUGAUAUACUGUAUCCAAUAUGCCAUGUCAUAUACAAUUAGACUACAAUACACUCUAUUAUUACAGGACAAUGUUUGUCAAUGUCACUGCUACCUGUGAUAUUUCUUUCUAAUGAACAUUUUUACUUGUUGUGUUUUCAAAAGUUUAGAGAUGAAAAUAAAAUAUAUUGGUUACAAACUGAA